CCUACGGGGGGCAGCAGUGAGGAAUAUUGGUCAAUGGGCGAGAGCCUGAACCAGCCAAGUCGCGUGAAGGAUGAAGGAUCUACGGUUUGUAAACUUCUUUUAUAUGGGAAUAAAGUGAGGAACGUGUUCCUUUUUGUAUGUACUAUAUGAAUAAGGAUCGGCUAACUCCGUGCCAGCAGCCGCGGUAAUACGGAGGAUGCGAGCGUUAUCCGGAUUUAUUGGGUUUAAAGGGAGCGUAGGUGGUUUAUUAAGUCAGUGGUGAAAGUUUGUGGCUCAACCAUAAAAUUGCAGUUGACACUGGUAGACUUGAGUAUAGUUGAGGUAGGCGGAAUGCGUGGUGUAGCGGUGAAAUGCGUAGAUAUCACGAAGAACUCCGAUUGCGAAGGCAGCUUACUAAACUAUAACUGACACUGAGGCACGAAGGCGUGGGGAUCAAACAGGAUUAGAUACCCUUGUAGUC
This 460-nucleotide ribosomal RNA is filed under the name uncultured bacterium. RNAcentral describes it as "partial 16S ribosomal RNA". It matches the Rfam family "Bacterial small subunit ribosomal RNA", at positions 338 to 795 of the family's 1533-position model. The record is from RNAcentral.